UCCGAUGGAACUUGAUAACAGCAGUCUCCCAUAAGGAGGAUCAGCCCAAAUUAAGUGCCUAGAGAAGGCAGACAUCCAGACUCCGUAUCAUAGUAUGUUGCACUCUGGGAACAAGAUGGAACAGAUUCUCCUUUAUGGCAGAGGCAGAACAGAAGCUGUGACUUUGUAUAGAUGUCUUGAGUGAGGGGCCUGGGGAAGGGGAGGAAGAUUCACCCUGAGCUAACAUCUGUGCCAAUCUUCCUCCACUUUAUGUAUGGGUUGCUGCCACAGCCUGGUUGAUGAGUGGUGUAAGUCUGUGCUUGGGAUCUGAACCCAGGAACCCAGGUGGCCCAAGUGGGGCACACUGAAUUUAACCACUAUGCCAC
This 365-nucleotide long non-coding RNA is filed under the name Equus caballus (horse). RNAcentral's name for it is "lncRNA (ENSECAG00000043969.1)". Lineage: Eukaryota; Metazoa; Chordata; Mammalia; Perissodactyla; Equidae. The record is from RNAcentral.